This 426-nucleotide ribosomal RNA is filed under the name uncultured bacterium. Its description in RNAcentral is "bacterial SSU rRNA". It matches the Rfam family "Bacterial small subunit ribosomal RNA", at positions 354 to 796 of the family's 1533-position model. The record is from RNAcentral.
GUGGGGAAUAUUGCGCAAUGGGGGAAACCCUGACGCAGCAACGCCGCGUGAAGGAUGAAGGUUUUCGGAUCGUAAACUUCUUUGAUGGGGGACGAACAAUGACGGUACCCCAAAAACAAGCCACGGCUAACUACGUGCCAGCAGCCGCGGUAAUACGUAGGUGGCGAGCGUUGUCCGGAAUUACUGGGUGUAAAGGGCGUGUAGGCGGGAAUACAAGUCAGAUGUGAAAUACCGUGGCUCAACCACGGGGCUGCAUCUGAAACUGUAUUUCUUGAGUGUCGGAGAGGAAAGUGGAAUUCCCAGUGUAGCGGUGAAAUGCGUAGAUAUUGGGAGGAACACCAGUGGCGAAGGCGACUUUCUGGACGACAACUGACGCUGAGGCGCGAAAGCGUGGGGAGCAAACAGGAUUAGAUACCCUUGUAGUCC